CGCCAAUUUUCCACCCCAAGCUGCGCACUUCUCGCGAGCUGUGCUGUAGUUUGAUGGGGUGUCUGCGAGCCUGAACACUCCUAAUGUUGACAGACGAGAAGACGAAAGAGAACUCUUUAGGAAUUCGGGCCAAAUGUCCCGCAACUUACGGAUGGUACAAAGAGGCCUUGGGACAUGAGCUCUUGGAGUUGGGCGCCCCUUGGACUGCCACUGGCGACUUCGUCCCGAAGAAGAUCACCGCUGCUGAGAUGAAGGAAGCCGUACUUUGCAACGAUUUUCUCGCACUGGGUGCCCUUCCCGCAUCCGGGACCGCCGACGACCCACAGUGUAACAGUCAUCCUUCUCGAUUUUUUGCUAACGUGUGAUUCCUGG
Molecule: long non-coding RNA, 372 nt
Filed under: Neodiprion pinetum (white pine sawfly)
Lineage: Eukaryota; Metazoa; Arthropoda; Insecta; Hymenoptera; Diprionidae
Description: uncharacterized LOC124220235
Source: RNAcentral